UGGAUCGUGAAACACUUUCAAGAUUUAU
This 28-nucleotide non-coding RNA is filed under the name Bombyx mori (domestic silkworm). The record is from RNAcentral. Lineage: Eukaryota; Metazoa; Arthropoda; Insecta; Lepidoptera; Bombycidae.